UACCGGCGGCUCGAGUGGUGGCCACUUUUAUUGGGCUUAAAGCGUUCGUAGCUGGGUUGUUGAGUCUCUUGGGAAAUCUGGCAGCUUAACUGUCAGGCGUCUAAGAGAUACUGGCAAUCUAGGAACCGGGAGAGGUGAGGGGUACUUCGGGGGUAGGAGUGAAAUCCUGUAAUCCUCGAGGGACCACCUGUGGCGAAGGCGCCUCACCAGAACGGCUUCGACAGUGAGGGACGAAAGCUGGGGGAGCAAACCG
This 253-nucleotide ribosomal RNA is filed under the name uncultured archaeon. Its description in RNAcentral is "partial 16S ribosomal RNA". It matches the Rfam family "Archaeal small subunit ribosomal RNA", at positions 474 to 726 of the family's 1478-position model. The record is from RNAcentral.